CCCUUAGAUGUUCUGGGCCGCACGCGUGCUACACUGACCGGCGCAACAAGUUUCUUUCCUUGGCUCGAUAGGCCUGGGUAAUCUUUGAACGCCGGUCGUGAUGGGGAUAGAUCCUUGCAAUUUUUGAUCUUCAACGAGGAAUUCCUAGUAAAUGCGAGUCAUCAUCUCGCGUUGAUUACGUCCCUGCCCUUUGUACACACCGCCCGUCGCACCUACCGAUUGAAUGGUCCGGUGAAAUCUCGGGACGGCGGCUCGGUCGCUUGCGUCCGACUGCUGAAACUUGAUUAAACCAUAUCAUUUAGAGGAAGGUGAAGUCGUAACA
This 322-nucleotide ribosomal RNA is filed under the name uncultured eukaryote. Its description in RNAcentral is "partial 18S ribosomal RNA". It matches the Rfam family "Eukaryotic small subunit ribosomal RNA", at positions 1470 to 1796 of the family's 1831-position model. The record is from RNAcentral.